Molecule: ribosomal RNA, 301 nt
Filed under: uncultured bacterium
Lineage: Bacteria
Description: partial 16S ribosomal RNA
Rfam family: Bacterial small subunit ribosomal RNA
Source: RNAcentral
CAGCAGCCGCGGUAAUACGAAGGGUGCAGGCGUUAAUCGGAAUUACUGGGCGUAAAGCGUGCGUAGGCGGUUUGUUAAGUCUGUUGUGAAAUCCCCGGGCUCAACCUGGGAAUGGCAAUGGAUACUGGCAAGCUAGAGUGUGUCAGAGGAUGGUGGAAUUCCCGGUGUAGCGGUGAAAUGCGUAGAGAUCGGGAGGAACAUCAGUGGCGAAGGCGGCCAUCUGGGACAACACUGACGCUGAGGCACGAAAGCGUGGGGAACAAACAGGAUUAGAUACCCCGGUAGUCCCUGUCUCUUAUAC